This is a long non-coding RNA of Helianthus annuus (common sunflower), 1377 nucleotides long. RefSeq lists it as uncharacterized. NCBI's taxonomy places the organism in Eukaryota, Viridiplantae, Streptophyta, Magnoliopsida, Asterales, Asteraceae. The record is from RefSeq and is a predicted model, not a curated record. The transcript has 3 exons.
CCCGAGUUAACGGGACCCGAAAUAAACUUAGUCAUAAAUAUUCUCGAACCCGCAAAGUUAACUAGGAAUAUUAAACCUAGUUAAUAAGUGGGGAAUAUUGUUAGAAAUAAGUAGGUUGUUCCCUACUUAAUUAACUAACCAAAUUAGAGGGGCCAAUAUUGUUAAAAUUGAAACUUAACUUUAAUUAAUUAAAUAAAACACACCAAACACCCCACAAGGAGGUGUCUGGUCGUACAAGAAGAACAGGGGGGCGAUCCCCACACAUCAAAACCCUAAAUCUUCACCAAACUUGCAAAUUGAAGGCUCAAUCCAAGUCAAAAUCGAAAAUCAAGCAUAAAUUAUUGAUCCCCAUUGAAAGGGGAGUCAUAAGUUUGACUCUGACAAGCUAGGUAGGAGCUUGGAAAUGAACGGGUCAAAUGGAUACAAGUUCAAGUAUGAAGCUCGCAAGGAUGCAAGGAGUAGAUAUCCAAUGGAUACUCGCAUCGCUCUUAAUUAGCUAUUAUAAAGCAAGGUAUUAAACCGGGUUAGUAAGUUGAUCCGAGCCAGGUAUGUAUAAUAGAUUAACUCAUCAUGUAGAACUUGAAGUUCUAUGAAAGUUAGGCAAAAUAAAAAAAAGGGCAUUCGGUUACCUUAAUAGGUAAACCGAAGGAUUUAAAUUAUUUAGACAGAAUGUUUUGAAAACAAGAUUUGGUUAAAAAUGAGAAAUUAGAAUCAAACAACAGGUUUGUUUGAUAAAAUCACGAACGGGUCAAAUUUGGUAAAAAGGGUUAAUAAGCCGAAGACUUAAAAGUCUUAAAAUUUUGUUAAUCCAGAUGUUGGGUCUUGACUCCAUUUGAUGGAGGUUCAAUUUACAAUCACGUAGGAAGAAACGGUAGGUCAAACAGACGAGCGGUUUGAAAGAUACGAAAGUUUUCGUGUCAAAAACGGCAAAAAGGAAAGGAAUGAUGCAGGGGCCACCGUAACUUACGGUGCCACCGUAAGUUACGGUGGACAUGAUUUGGUUACGGUAAAUGCCUACUGUUGUACGGUUGAAUAAUUGAAACACAGAGACCACCGUAACUUACGGUGCCACCGUAACUUACGGUGGAGGUCAGAAAUGAGUUUUUAUUUUGGGUUUAAGAUAUCCAUGUGGGAUUUUCCUAAUUUCCCCAUUGUAUUAGUUUAAUUAAUUAUCAAAACUGACCUUUAAGUUGGUUUUGAUCACAGGUGAAUGUCGAGGGUCCCGGAUGAAGAUCGAGCAUCGAGCAAGAACCGAACACACAUUAAAUAAAGCUUCCGCAACGUUGUUUUGUCGUUAUUCUAAACGGUGAUUUAAAUCACAUUAUGUAUAUCACUUAAAUUGUAAAAGUUUUUAAUAAACCCGCAUUUUGUACAGUA